CCAGACUCCUACGGGAGGCAGCAGUAGGGAAUCUUCCGCAAUGGACGAAAGUCUGACGGAGCAACGCCGCGUGAGUGAUGAAGGCUUUCGGGUCGUAAAACUCUGUUGUUAGGGAAGAACAAGUGCUAGUUGAAUAAGCUGGCACCUUGACGGUACCUAACCAGAAAGCCACGGCUAACUACGUGCCAGCAGCCGCGGUAAUACGUAGGUGGCAAGCGUUAUCCGGAAUUAUUGGGCGUAAAGCGCGCGCAGGUGGUUUCUUAAGUCUGAUGUGAAAGCCCACGGCUCAACCGUGGAGGGUCAUUGGAAACUGGGAGACUUGAGUGCAGAAGAGGAAAGUGGAAUUCCAUGUGUAGCGGUGAAAUGCGUAGAGAUAUGGAGGAACACCAGUGGCGAAGGCGACUUUCUGGUCUGUAACUGACACUGAGGCGCGAAAGCGUGGGGAGCAAACAGGAUUAGAUACCCUGGUAGUCCACGCCGUAAACGAUGAGUGCUAAGUGUUAGAGGGUUUCCGCCCUUUAGUGCUGAAGUUAACGCAUUAAGCACUCCGCCUGGGGAGUACGGCCGCAAGGCUGAAACUCAAAUGAAUUGACGGA
RNAcentral lists this ribosomal RNA (596 nucleotides) under Bacillus sp. (in: firmicutes). Its description in RNAcentral is "bacterial SSU rRNA". It matches the Rfam family "Bacterial small subunit ribosomal RNA", at positions 331 to 917 of the family's 1533-position model. Lineage: Bacteria; Bacillati; Bacillota; Bacilli; Caryophanales; Bacillaceae. The record is from RNAcentral.